GAUGUUGUCGGUUGUCAGGCGGUAUUGAGUGUUUUUGUGAAAAUAUUGCCUAAAACCAAAUGUGAAUUUGAUGAUAAACUCACUAGCUUAUGACAGUAAUAUCUGCGUUUAUCAUUUUUCUAACUAAAAUCCACACAAGAGGUGAUAAAAUGAAUUUCAACAUCAUGCUAAUAAGCAAACAUUUCAUCUAGAGAUGUAUAUAGGGUGAGUGAUUGAGAGCUGUCCUAGGACUGGGGAUUUCUGAUAAUUUUAUAGGCGUAGUGUUGUUUGAAUCCAAGUUAUGGAAAUAUUUCAUUUUGUUCACUUUUUAAAAUUCAUGUCAUUGGAAGAAAAAAGUUGAAAAAUUGAAAAAUUUUGACAAAUCUAUUUUGAAAUCUACUAUCGUCAUUGAAUUCGUGGCUGUCUAAUUAAACCCUGGUGAAAACUAAACAACAAUAUUCACUAAUGAUUUGUUUGUAGUACAUGUAUUUAGUAAAUGUAGACUUCAUGUCUCCGAAAAAUUAAACUGUUGAUAUGUAUCUUAAUAUUACUAACAAGCAUAUUUACUGUGAGGUUUAAUGAUGGUGUAGUACCAAUACGUGACCCAAUUCGACAGAAUGUGAAUGUUUGCGUCAAAAGUAGUGUUAUACAAUUGAACACAAUCUAAAACGGUCAACAGCUACAUCCGACAAAACAUGUUAAUUAUGUAAUGCGAACACUCUGAUCUCAUUCACCACAGCGACAAUCGGAGGAGACUGAUCUCAUUUAUUACAGCGACAAUCGGAGUAGACAGAAGAUGAAAUUGAUAGUACUGCUGUGCUUCUGUAUUGGGAUUUCCGUGACUUUGGCGGACGAAUCGUGUGUAACGUACUGCUGUCGUUAUAAUACGUUUGGUGUUUGUCUAAAAGAGUGUGAAUACGGCUGCAAUGACAGCGAUGAUGACCUUCCGAUGGGUUUGAGGUCAUUGCCAAGACAUUGGAAGUCAGCUUUUGGGAGACGUGUUUGAACUCUGGAAAACACAAGGAACAUCAUACAAAACAACAGAUGAACGAGUUUCUGAAAUCGACAUGAAGAAAUAGAGCGGACUUCUUACCCAAAGUUUUCAUACUAAAUCAUAACCUGUCUUCUUUUUGUAUUAUCCACAAUCUUUUUUCCUGGUUCAAAUUAAAUUAUAAAGCAUUGAGUUCGUUUAUUUUUGCAGUUAUACUGACAGGAACUGAGCCCAUCUAACAAAAUUAUCCAUUAGAUUAUUUAGAUAAGAUAAAUUUUCCUAUUGAAUUGAUUGACAUAUUGAUUAUGUGUGUUUUGCAGGUAAUAUUAGCUCUUAAAAUAAGAAACAUGUACGGAUCCAGAGAUGAUGGGUGGGGUUCAAGGGCGUUCGACACCCCUCCCCAUUACUGAUGCAUUUUGUUUUCACUGUCAUUGAAAAUUCAUGCUUUUAGCACAUAACGAUAUUUAUGUUUAUCAGCUUCUAUUACCCCAAACUCUGCUCACCGUAGUUCGUUUUUGCUGUCAUAAAAAAUCUGAACAAAAGAAUGAUUGAGAUUGAAAAUUUGUCAUUUAUUACAAUACCAAAUGACGAAAGAAAUCUUCAACAUAAGAUUUUGGGGAAAUCAGAUAAUACAUUCUACAUCAAAGUACCUGCAAAGCUAAAUUACUCAAAGUCUGAUUUCCCCCAAAGAAGACAAAAUAACUUAAAUAAUGAUUAUUUCUUAGUGGUAUUAGUAUUAAUACCAUUUAGUACUACAUGUAGCAUAUGUAAAUCUGAAAUGGAAGGUGCUUGUGAUUUAGCGUUCGUCGUCGACGAUUAGUUACAUGUACCUCCAUUGUAUUGCAUCAGUUUAAUUAAUGGUGAUAUCAUAGAUCAUUAUCAUCAUACAGGACUGAAGUAGUGCAUUUCAUCUAAACCAAAUUCAUCUGAAGAAAUGAAUCUUAAAAGAAUAUGAAAACUCAACAGUUAGGAAAUGGAAUGAAAGAAACAAAGAAUUUUGAUAAGUGUAAUUAGUAAACAAUAUCUGUAAUUUUGUUCUUUUUAAAUUAAUUUCUUGAUAAUUGUUUCUAUUUCAAAUUUCCUAAAUGAUUUCUGACCGAAAUUGGCUCAAGAUGACAAACAAUGCUUUCUUUUGAUAGAAACUUUUCCGGACCCCCCUACACCCUCGUAUUCUUUUCACGAUAGGCCAGCUACAAGUACUUAAUGCAGCUGAGGUAUACAUGUAAUAGUUAAACUCCCUCCUUUUAAAAUUCAGGAUCCACCACUGAAACAAUUUUACAUAAGUUAGGUUCGAUUUUAGGUGGUAAUGAAGCAAUGUUCAAGGAUAAUUAGGAGUUUUAUUUUGACGACGCAUUUUAAUGUGGACAAUUAGAAAUGAAUACAAAUUUAGACAGAAAACUGUCGAAACUGUCAAUCAUUUAAAAGUCAUACAAGUGCAUCAGAGGGCGAUGUAGGCACUGGAACAUGAUUUCCAUGUACAGUAAUAAUGUAAGAGGUCAACUUUGUGCCAUUGUAAUGAUGAAUGCAUGUACUAUGGAUAGAUAUACAAUUAUUGUAUACAUGAUAAUGUAAUCAACGCAACUCAUUCACUAUAAAAAGAUUAUGACUAAAUAUUGUUAAUUCAUGCAUCAUGUAUUAUAUGAUUCGUAGGUUAAUAUGUGCUCUUGGAUCAUCUGUUUAUUUGCUCAUUGUAAUUCUCAUGAGGAUUAGUAUUCUGAAAACAAGAGAAUGCCAUUGCAAUUUUUGGUUAAAAGGGCGUAUACAAAUAUGAUACACGAAUCACGUUUAUAUUCUUACUUUACAAUAAUGGUGCAUUUGAAACCAUUUUAUCGAGUCAGCACGAAACACUGGCCUGCACGGCGAGCUCUAAUGACUAAAGCGGGCGGAAAAUUCGGAACUGCUCCCAGAAAAAUUAUCUUAGUAAAAGUUUGUUAGAUUAGUAAACAAUUAGAAAAAAAAAAUCAUUAUAGUUGUAUCAUAAUUCCUGGCAAAUUCAGCAUUUGGACAGUCUGUGCAUUCGCAAAUGCUGUUCAAAGUUUCCUUUCAAUAUCCAGUUCAAUUUUAUCUAAAUAUGAAAUGAAGAAAUAGAAUAUGUCAGAAUGAUGUUACGUAUUGUGUUUUAUCGAUGUUUUACAUUUCUGAUACAAAAUAUAAACCAAGGUAAUCUUUACACUACGUUUCUUCCUUACACGCCGUCAUUUUGGAACACUUGUCACUCCUGCUAAAAUGGGCAAUAUACAUGUACAAGAGCAACACUAGUGUGGAGUAUUAGACAUUUUAUCUACAACUCUAGUUACCCGUGUAACUCGUGUCGCAUAAUCAAAUUCACAGGACAUCAUUUCACGGGGAAAUCUAACGCAGUCAAUGUAAACAGUGUAUUGUGCAAAUUCUAUGCUCGUUAUAUUGAUCUAAUUUGCCAAUACAACCUGUCAUUGGGUCAAAUGCUGUCUGAAAUGUUUCAUACCGAUUGUUAGGCCAUUCUUGAUACGCAUAUUUUGACUACAUAUUACUUCGUUUAUCUGAGACAUAAUGUUCACGGCGGGUGUGACCGGUCGACAGGGAUGCUUACUCCUCCUAGGUACCUGAUCCCACCUCUGGUGUGUCCAGUGGUCCUUGUUUGUCUAACUCUUUAUUUUGUAUUCAUUAUAGGAGAUUAAUCACUGUUCGUUAUCUUCACCUUUCAAUUUGAUCUACAUGUAAUAUCAGCUGUGAUUAUUUAUCAACAACAAAACGUGGGGAGGUAUCAUAAAGCUUGUCUACAAUUUAAAUACGUAUGUGGUUCUUUUCAAACUAUUUAUAUAUUUUAUCUACAAGGAUAUCAAUGAAUUAUAUCGCUAUGAAGGCGAUAUUUCUCCAGAAGCAGAAUGUGUAAUCCUCAUAAUUUUGCAGCUGAUGAAGAGCAAAUCGCGUGACUCCCUCAUGUAAUCAUUAAAGCAAGCUUGUCACCUCGUGUCGUGGGCUUUGCUCGCUAAUAUGUAUAUACGGACCGUUGUAAACAUUGGACCGAGCAGAACAUGAAAUGGUCAUUGGCGUGCCCAAAGUAAUAAUCAUAACUUAAAAAUAUAGGAACACUUUUGGUGUACCAGCCCACAAAUAUGGUGUUAAAAUAAGUGCCGCCGAAGGCGGUUUAGUAUUUAUAUGAGCGAUCGGUGAAAUCGUUAAAAUGGCAAAAUCGCAAAAUUUAGCUUAAAUUUGAAGUUAAGGUGUAAUAUGAAGUUUAAAAAAACUGUUUUAAACACUGUUUUUAGAAUUCAAAAUGAAAAAAGAAUGCAAUAAGACGUACAGUUUAUGUGCCAAAAUAGAUGAAAUCCAUUGUUUAGGAUAUUGUCACGUGUGCGUUAAUUUACGUAAUUCUGAAUAUUCAAUUCACUAAUGUUAAUGAAAGCAAAUUGAAACUUAUCUGGGAUUAAGGAAGAAUACUGAUUCUUUCUCGUUUACGAAAAAUAUUUAGCAAGUAGAUACUAAAAACCCACUUUAAAAUGCUUUUUAUCGACAUUUUAGCCUACGGACACUUCUGAAUGGGAACUGCCUUCAACAUCUUUGCUUUUAUUAAUAUCAUUUUCUUAAAAAUCUAUCAUAGUUAACUCACACGAUCAGCUUGAUAUGUCGGGGGCAGCCGUAAAUAACGGUGUGAUUACAGUCACGUCAGAACAUUUCGUCCAAUGACAGGUUGUUUUGGCAAACUAUAAAUAGUUAUACAUGUAACGAUUAUAUAAUUUGUGAAAUGCUGAGUUCAUGUCUAUUUUUGAAAAACAAAUAUGGACAAAAACGUAUUCUUAUCUAAACCUCUUCUUUAUUUUCUGCUUCUUUGUAACCAUAAUACUUUGAAGAACAAAUACAGAAAAAAAAUCAUUUAUUUAUAAAGAUGUGUUUUUCGCAGUAGGGGAUCGAAAAUGUUCACGGAUUUCAUCAAAUAGGUACCAUUGCCUCCUAGGCUCAAGACCAAGUUCUAGAGUCUCUUGGAGCAGUGGACCAUCUAUGGAGGGAAGGGUGUUCCGAUCUUUCAAGAAAUUCACACAUACAGGGACAAAAUUGCAAAGCCCCUUAAAUCCAACAUUGAUGCUCUAAUGUUUAUCACCGCUUUGAAAUAAUGUUAUAGGUAUGGAUUACGAUCCCUAUAAUUGACAGGUUUUAGUGAAUCUGACACAACCCGAGUAAUGUUUUGGCGUCGUCGUGAUGGAUGACAAUCUCGAUCAUUAUUUCAGUAGUAGAGAAAUGUCACUUAAUUUUUCAUACUACGAAAUGCCAGUCAAUCUUGUUAACAGUGUCCUGCUACCAUUAUGGAAUAUUUCACAAUCAUAUGGAGUUUAGAUUCAAAGACGUUAAAGUCUUAAAUUUUAAAUGAUACUAAUUUCAUUGCAUGUCAUUUUCAUAAUUUCUACAUGUGAAAUGUUUGCCCUAAAUGAAGAUCACAAACAUUAUACAUGUAGUACGAUGUACAUAGAAGACCCAAUCUCUACCCAGAGUUAACCUUUUCACAGUUAAUAAAAAUAGAACUAAGAACUGUAUUAUGAAAUAUCAGGAAAAUGUAGAGCAAGCAAUUAUUGUUGCAAAUUAUACAUAUAUUAGUUUAUAUUUCCCAUUAAAAUUCAUGUCUACCUUAAAUAUACAAACAUUUUUUGUAUUGUAUUUCAACACUAUUCAAUGCUUCUUGUGUCACAGAAAGACUUAACAUAUAGUUACAUGUAUUAUUGAUCUAUUUACGUAUAUUUUUGUAACUAAAGUCGAAACCACAUUUUAUUUGACCAUCUUUACAAUUUUACAAGAAUCUUGAAAAUCCUCUCGACACGUUGAUAGAGGAAAAUGUGAGUGUAAGGAACGAUAAAUCUGGGUAGAGAUUGGUAUCUACACUGAAUAAUGUAAUUAGUAAUCAAAUAGUUCUUUGUUUGAAUGGUCGAAAUAUAUUUUUAUUAGUUAGUGCAUAUGUGAAACCAGAACCCUUCAUAGUGUAUACCAUAAAACAAAAUCGCUGUUGUUUUGUCCACUACGAUUGUUGAAAUGUACGGAGGUUAAUUUCUCUCCACAGUCGCGGUACGAAAGAAGUGAUAAGACAUGCUACAGAUGUAAUGGCAGAAUGUGCACCCUUCCCCGUGUUCUCAGCUUAAUCAAUGUAAUAGAACUCUUGCUUUCCUACGAAAAUGAAAAAAACUAAAUUGAUUGUAUAAAUGCAACAAACAUAGUUUUUGAACAUGCAUCAUGAGGGAUGAAAUUUAGAAUGUGACAAUGUUUUGAAAAUAAAAAGAUAUAAAAAUAUAAAAUAUGUUUAAAUGUUUUCAAAUAUAAAAUGUAUUAUCUAUAUACUUGUGCGACACAUGGAAUAUCUAAAGUAUGUAACAAUCUGUCAAGCAGAACUAGAAAUAAUCCUCAAAGUUUCACUGGUCAAUUUCUACUGUCCCUUCGGACCAGUGGAUAUAAAAUCGAUUGGUUCAAAUUCAUAUUUAAUAAUAGUGAAUAACUUUCAUAAUCAAAGGCCUAAUAUCCUUUUUAUGUACACUUGCAUCAUGUUCACUUGCAUCAGCAAUAUCGAAAUCUUGCUAUUCCUAUCCAUGUUGUUCGCUUAAACAAUAGUCAGUGUCAUCUUCAUUUUUGUCAUUUGUGGAAGUGUAUUGUUAAAACCAUUAAACCAUAUCCCAAUACUUCUCACCCUGGGUUGAAAAUCCACCUGCAGUCCUUCAAAUACUAGACAAGAAAUAUUAUAUAAAUCAACUGUCCAUAGUCACUAUUAUAUGAAUAUCAUUUUAAUGUGUUAGGCCAAUGUAUGGCUAGAAAUCUAAAUUAGACCAGCCAAUAUAUAAAAAUAAACAGAGCAAUGUGUCUCAUAACUAUGAAAUUGAAUUUGAAUUUAUUGAUGCCUCAUCUUAGUAUGAAAAGUCAAGAAUGUUAACUUGAUAAUAACACUUUAUUCAUCAAAUCAAUCUAUUAAAUGAGAGCUAAUACAAGCAAAAUAGGCUUCUGAAUUUCUACAUUAAGUGGUUUGUUUGAUUUGCAUCAUAAUGAGUCAAAAAUGAUGUAAUGUACUACAAUUAUAAAGAAAGUCACACAACACUAAGGCCUUACCUUUCUCUUUCUGUUUAGCAGCGACUUGGAUUUUUACACUCCGCUUCCCAAUAGUUGCUGUCUGACACCCUGUUGCUGUUGAAGUCACUCUUUUUCCAGUCUCUGCAGCCUGAUAAGACAAACAUUAGAAACAUUGUUUCUUUUGAUACUUAAUUAUUCUUAGUGUACACAGAAGGCCUCGUACUUAACUUUUCAUAUGAACUACAAGAUAAGUAAUACUUGCAUGUAAUGAGAAUUUACUGCGUAUGAUUUUGUUUUUUAGAAGGAAACAAAUUUUAAUGAUUAUGAAUCCAAUGUACCAUAUCUUCUGUCAAUCUGCAAAUUAUAUGCAAGCAAGUGUGUGUCUGUGUGAGAAGGAGUUUUUUUUAAACAAACAAGAGGCCCACAGGCCUUAUCGAUCACCUGCGUACUAGUGAAAAGUAUCACUACAACCAAGGGCUAUGGAAUCAAAAUUUCCUUAUAUGAAUAUCUAAGCUAAAUUCUAAUGUUCAGCAACAGUAUAAAACAAGACGUGAUCUUAAUUUAGAGUUUAAUAAAUCAAUAAAAUUCUGAGUUCAAUGCACAUUCAAAGUAUUUCUGCCAGCCCAAUAUACCGUAUUUGGGGGCAACAUUGUCUGUGUGUGUAGCUUUUCAAUACCAACUACAGUAUAUACUGCACAUAAUUGCUUGUUCUGGGCCUUUACCUUUCUAUGACAAAUUGAUAGAAAAAUUGUUGAAAUAAAACUCACCAGUAAAUAAUAGUAUAGUGGGUGUACUGUUACAUCUUCAUAAAUGUUUAUCUGAGUAAUUGGUGAAAUAAAUAUACCGGUUCAUUCUAUAAAUACUAUUAAGAAUUGAACUACGGUAACCACAUAUACUGUAUAAAAGGGUGAAAAUUAGCUUCAUUUCUAGAUAUGAAUUGUGGGUCUAUUGUUUUGUUCAUUGACAAAUAACAUAAAAUUAUACCCAAAAGAAGUACUUCUAUCGAAUGUAAAAUAAACUUGAGAUUGUCAGUAUUCAAUCUCCUAUGUUUGCCAUCAUGUGUAGCUUUUCUGGCCUCUAUUACACUUGGUAGAAUGUGGUUUGUGUUUGUAUGCUAUUUUUCAAACUUGCAAAUUGCUUACAGUCAAUAUAAAAGAUCUCUAUCGUUAGGGUUUUAAAGAUUAUAAAAGAAAAUUAUAUAAAUUCUUUGCAACACAUUUCUUUUCUUUUGUAUCUUUUGAGGUAUGUGGCCGAAAGACUGGCAAACCCGAUACUUUGUAUACGAUAUAAAUAGGUACCAACCUAAAUGCACUGUAAGUGUCAUAUACGAACUACAUUCUAUUCUUUAGGAAACUGAAAUUUUGUUAUCUAUACAUGUACGCAUAGUUUCCUUCAUUAGUUGGACUGGUUCACAUAAAAUAAGAAGUGCUUCGAUGCAGGUCAAGAUGGGUGCAUAUUGUUUCCUUUCCUGUCUUAAAUACACUCACUGUUGUAAUGAUGCGAUAUGUUAGGGUAUACUUUGAACUGUCGACUUUGCUCUCUCUUUUCUUUGAAAUGCAUGUUUGUUUUUCUCAGUAAAACUUAAUUACACAUACAGUAUCAUAGAGAAGGGAACAUGUAACUAGAUCAAGCUCAAGAUAUAUGUGUCAAUCAUUCUACGUAAAAGUAUAAAUUCGAGGUGUCGAACACGACCAUUGAGAAAGAUAUUCAUUGACGACAAAGAUGAAGCUGGUAUAUGUCUUCUGCUUACUUAUUGCUGUACUGAUUGACCAGGGAGAAAGUGAAUGCAGAUCGUAUUGUUGUGAAUACGACCCCACCCGCACUUUCUGUACAAGAAUUUGCUGCGGAUCUCAUGCAGGUAGAAGAAGACGAUCCUCGUCCACAUUCAAAUUCAAAGAACCAAGCGCCGUUGAUGAGCGAUUUAAGCAGAGAUUUAAACAUCAAUAAAAUGAUGGAUGGCAGUCUUUGUAAUCAACGCGAUGAAACAAGAAUUUCCUUUUUAUUCCUCAGAAGUGACUGAUUUUCCCUAUUACAUUGUGCACUUUGUAUUCGUCCCUGCUUGUAUAAAAAGUUAAAAGCA
This is a long non-coding RNA of Ostrea edulis (European flat oyster), 9068 nucleotides long. RefSeq lists it as uncharacterized. The transcript is spliced from 7 exons. NCBI's taxonomy places the organism in Eukaryota, Metazoa, Mollusca, Bivalvia, Ostreida, Ostreidae. The record is from RefSeq and is a predicted model, not a curated record.